UUGUGUCUUCGAGUCGUUGAUUUCACACUGCCGAGAAAAGCCUCUAGAUAGAAAAUAGGUGCCCGUACCGCAAACCGACACAGGUAGUCAAGAUGAGAAUUCUAAGGUGAGCGAGCGAACUCUCGUUAAGGAACUCGGCAAAAUGACCCCGUAACUUCGGGAGAAGGGGUGCUCUUUAGGGUUAACGCCCAGAAGAGCCGCAGUGAAUAGGCCCAAGCGACUGUUUAUCAAAAACACAGGUCUCUGCUAAACCGUAAGGUGAUGUAUAGGGGCUGACGCCUGCCCGGUGCUGGAAGGUUAAGAGGAGUGGUUAGCUUCUGCGAAGCUACGAAUCGAAGCCCCAGUAAACGGCGGCCGUAACUAUAACGGUCCUAAGGUAGCGAAAUUCCUUGUCGGGUAAGUUCCGACCCGCACGAAAGGCGUAACGAUUUGGGCACUGUCUCAACGAGAGACUCGGUGAAAUCAUAGUACCUGUGAAGAUGCAGGUUACCCGCGACAGGACGGAAAGACCCCGUGGAGCUUUACUGUAGCCUGAUAUUGAAAUUCGGCACAGCUUGUACAGGAUAGGUAGGAGCCUUUGAAACGUGAGCGCUAGCUUACGUGGAGGCGCUGGUGGGAUACUACCCUAGCUGUGUU
Molecule: ribosomal RNA, 636 nt
Filed under: Staphylococcus aureus
Lineage: Bacteria; Bacillati; Bacillota; Bacilli; Caryophanales; Staphylococcaceae
Description: partial 23S ribosomal RNA
Rfam family: Bacterial large subunit ribosomal RNA
Source: RNAcentral